Molecule: long non-coding RNA, 547 nt
Organism: Mauremys reevesii (Reeves's turtle)
Lineage: Eukaryota; Metazoa; Chordata; Testudines; Geoemydidae
Exons: 4
Source: RefSeq, a predicted model, not a curated record
UGCAUUGACCGGAGGGGCGGAGACUGAGCCCCAGCCUGCCCUCGCGGCCAUACACGUUACCUAGCAACCCAUCAACACAGGAAGUGACCGCACAGACCGAGCCCCUGCUACUUAGGGGGACAAAGCCCCGCCCCCUCCCCUGCCAGUCGGGAAGGGGCUACGGUCACGUGUCUGCUCUGUUUCCUAGAAUCCGGGACCCGGACAGUUCUUCCCCCGCCCGCUCCCCGCUUAGAACCGGAGCGAAGCCGGGCGAGCGGGCGGGCGAGGGCUGGUGCGGGGAGGAUGUGCGGGGAGUGGGGCAUCCCCAGGGCCCCGCCUCUGCAGCGGAUUUGCCGGUACAGAGUGAAGUUUUGAAAGCAACUCUGUUGUGCUAGUGCGUGAUCACCAAGGAAAAGGUUUGGAGCGGAAAUGGAACUCUAAAGAUUAAUAUUGAGGAAGCUGUACUGAACAUGAUGAAAGGAAGAUGUCUGAACAUGCAGGUUCUUCAGGAGAAUCCAGGAUUCUGAAGACUAUCCACCUUCAAGAUCACCAUCAUUUGCUAUAGUUU